CCUACGGGUGGCUGCAGUGGGGAAUAUUGGGCAAUGGAGGCAACUCUUACCCAGCAAUGCCGCGUGAAUGAAGAAGGUCUUCGGAUUGUAAAGUUCUUUAAUUGGGGACGAAAAAAAUGACGGUACCCAAGGAAUAAGCCCCGGCUAACUACGUGCCAGCAGCCGCGGUAAUACGUAGGGGGCAAGCGUUGUUCGGAAUGACUGGGCGUAAAGGGUGUGUAGGCGGUGUAGCAAGUCUGAAGUGAAAGCCCGCGGCUUAACCGCGGAACUGCUUUGGAAACUUUUUUGCUGGAGUACCGGAGAGGUAAGCGGAAUUCCUAGUGUAGCGGUGAAAUGCGUAGAUAUUAGGAGGAACACCAGUGGCGAAGGCGGCUUACUGGACGGUAACUGACGUUGAGGCUCGAAAGCGUGGGGAGCAAACAGGAUUAGAUACCCUGGUAAUC
This 443-nucleotide ribosomal RNA is filed under the name uncultured bacterium. RNAcentral describes it as "partial 16S ribosomal RNA". It matches the Rfam family "Bacterial small subunit ribosomal RNA", at positions 338 to 795 of the family's 1533-position model. The record is from RNAcentral.